Molecule: long non-coding RNA, 968 nt
Filed under: Mytilus galloprovincialis (Mediterranean mussel)
Lineage: Eukaryota; Metazoa; Mollusca; Bivalvia; Mytilida; Mytilidae
Source: RNAcentral
AGCCCGUAACAGAGAAGUGAUCGAAUUGAUGUUUCUUUACCGUCAAAAUUAGCUACGUUAUCGACAAACUUAAUUGAGUAGUGACCGAACUAUUGGUACUUUAACGUUAAAAAGAUUGACAAUGCUGACAAACUUUCAUGUGUCGAUAAUCAAGUUUAAUACCGAUAAUAUUGAAAAUAAUUCUAAUAAUAUGAAACAAAAAUAUGUCCAUGCACCAUUUCGAUUGGGCGAAAAGUAGUCAUUUCUUCAAAGUCAGAACAGAAAAAAAAGAUUUAUGGAAGGACGUCUUGAUAGUAUUAUUUCCUUUACAAUUUUACCCAAAACUAAAAGAAAUAUACUGGUAAACAAUUAAAAAGGUGUUUGAUAGGAAUGAAGUCCUUUAUUUUUUCGGACUACAAUGUGUACCGUAUGUGUGAUGGAUUUGAAUUCAAUCAAUAACUUUGAAAUGUUUUCUCAUAUGUAUACACAAAAGGGAGGACUGGUAUUUGUACUUCUGUUAGAAUAUGUCUUCGUCCGUUUCACAUGCCAAACUUUUUUCUAGUACAGUUUAAACGGGAAAAUUUUGUUGAGAAUUUUUUUAAUAUGACAAAAUAACGAGCAAAACUAUUUCUUGCAAUGGCACACACAGAGAAUAUUUUUUUUAGUAAAAAUCAGUAAAAAAAAAAUUCUCCAAAAUAUACCAUGGCCAGGACCUGACAGUUUUUAGCAGUGUACAAAUGAAAAUCGUCCGGAAAACUGCGCUUGCUGUCAUUUUGAGGGAUCAUGCAACAUUUCACCUAUUACCCAUAAACAACAUAGGUUCUCAAUUACUAAAAAAAGUUCUAAAAGAUAAUUUCAAAUCAGAGUAAACAUAUUAACUUCCUUAUAUCCAGUCGAAUUUGUCUAUAGGUUACACAAAGCUGGUUCUUAAAACGUUUGUAUCAGGGAAAACAUUUUUCUUUGACUUUUAAAACAUGUAGGGGAAACGG